AUACGGAGGAUCCGAGCGUUAACCGGAUUUAUUGGGUUUAAAGGGUGCGCAGGCGGCCAUUUAAGUCAGCGGUUAAAUCGUGGGGCUCAACCCCAUUCUGCCGUUGAUACUGGGUGGCUUGAUUGCGGUCGAGGUUGGCGGAAUUCGUUGUGUAGCGGUGAAAUGCAUAGAUAUGACGAAGAACACCGAUUGCGUAGGCAGCUGACCAGACCGCAAAUGACGCUCAUGCACGAAAGUGCGGGGAUCGAACAGGAUUAGAUACCCUGGUAGUCCGCACAGUAAACGAUGAAUACUUGUUUUCGGCGAUAUAAUGUCGGAGGCAAAGCGAAAGCGAUAAGUAUUCCACCUGGGGAGUACGCCGGCAACGGUGAAACUCAAAGGAAUUGACGGGG
Molecule: ribosomal RNA, 392 nt
Filed under: uncultured bacterium
Lineage: Bacteria
Description: partial 16S ribosomal RNA
Rfam family: Bacterial small subunit ribosomal RNA
Source: RNAcentral